RNAcentral lists this ribosomal RNA (530 nucleotides) under Notherobius hastatus. Its description in RNAcentral is "partial 16S ribosomal RNA". It matches the Rfam family "Bacterial large subunit ribosomal RNA", at positions 1809 to 2607 of the family's 2925-position model. The record is from RNAcentral. Lineage: Eukaryota; Metazoa; Arthropoda; Insecta; Neuroptera; Hemerobiidae.
AAAAACAUGUCUUUUUGUUUAAAAUAUAAAGUCUAACCUGCCCACUGAUAAUUUAUUAAAGGGCCGCAGUAUUUUGACUGUGCAAAGGUAGCAUAAUCAUUUGUCUUUUAAUUGAAGGCUAGAAUGAAUGGUUGAAUGAAGUAUUAACUGUCUCAUUUUAAUAAAUUAAGAAUUUAGCUUUUAAAUUAAAAGGUUUAAAUAAAUUUAAAAGACGAGAAGACCCUAUAGAUUUUUAUAUUAAUUAUUAUAAUAUUAUUAUGUAAAUAAUUUAUUGUUAUAAUAAUUAAUAUUUGAUUGGGGUGAUUGAAAAAUUUAAUAAACUUUUUUUAUUUAAAAACAUUGAUUUAUGAUUAAUUGAUCCAAUUUUAUUGAUUAAAAAUUUAAAUUACCUUAGGGAUAACAGCGUAAUUUUUUUAGAGAGUUCUUAUCGAUAAAAAAGAUUGCGACCUCGAUGUUGAAUUAAAGGUUAUAUUUAAAUGUAGUAGUUUAAAUGUUAGGUCUGUUCGACCUUUAAAUCUUUACAUGAUCUG